UUCCAGACUCCUACGGGAGGCAGCAGUGAGGAAUAUUGGUCAAUGGUCGGGAGACUGAACCAGCCAAGCCGCGUGAGGGAUGAAGGUACAGAGUAUCGUAAACCUCUUUUGUCAGGGAACAAAACCCGGGACGAGUCCCGGACUGCGUGUGUCCGAAGAAAAAGCAUCGGCUAACUCCGUGCCAGCAGCCGCGGUAAUACGGAGGAUGCGAGCGUUAUCCGGAUUUAUUGGGUUUAAAGGGUGCGUAGGCGGUCCGUUAAGUCAGCGGUAAAAUUGCGGGGCUCAACCCCGUCGAGCCGUUGAAACUGGCAGACUUGAGUUGGCGAGAAGUACGCGGAAUGCGCGGUGUAGCGGUGAAAUGCGUAGAUAUCGCGCAGAACUCCGAUUGCGAAGGCAGCGUACCGGCGCCAGACUGACGCUGAGGCACGAAAGCGUGGGGAUCGAACAGGAUUAGAUACCCCAGUA
Molecule: ribosomal RNA, 465 nt
Filed under: uncultured bacterium
Lineage: Bacteria
Description: bacterial SSU rRNA
Rfam family: Bacterial small subunit ribosomal RNA
Source: RNAcentral